GACGAACGCUGGCGGCGUGCUUAACACAUGCAAGUCGAACGGAAAGGCCCUGCUUUUGUGGGGUGCUCGAGUGGCGAACGGGUGAGUAACACGUGAGUAACCUGCCCUUGACUUUGGGAUAACUUCAGGAAACUGGGGCUAAUACCGGAUAGGAGCUCCUGCUGCAUGGUGGGGGUUGGAAAGUUUCGGCGGUUGGGGAUGGACUCGCGGCUUAUCAGCUUGUUGGUGGGGUAGUGGCUUACCAAGGCCUUGACGGGUAGCCGGCCUGAGAGGGUGACCGGCCUCAUUGGGACUGAGAUACGGCCCAGACUCCUACGGGAGGCAGCAGUGGGGAAUGUUGCACGAUGGGCGGAAGCCUGAUGCAGCAACGCCGCGUGCGGGAUGACGGCCUUCGGGUUGUAAACCGCUUUCGCCUGUGACGAAGCGUGAGUGACGGUAAUGGGUGAAGAAGCACCGGCUAACUACGUG
RNAcentral lists this ribosomal RNA (468 nucleotides) under uncultured bacterium. RNAcentral describes it as "partial 16S ribosomal RNA". It matches the Rfam family "Bacterial small subunit ribosomal RNA", at positions 28 to 507 of the family's 1533-position model. The record is from RNAcentral.